Molecule: ribosomal RNA, 467 nt
Filed under: uncultured bacterium
Lineage: Bacteria
Description: bacterial SSU rRNA
Rfam family: Bacterial small subunit ribosomal RNA
Source: RNAcentral
AGUCGAACGGUAACAGGCCGCAAGGUGCUGACGAGUGGCGAACGGGUGAGUAAUGCAUCGGAACGUGCCCAGUCGUGGGGGAUAACUGCUCGAAAGAGCAGCUAAUACCGCAUACGAUCUAUGGAUGAAAGCGGGGGACCGUAAGGCCUCGCGCGAUUGGAGCGGCCGAUGUCAGAUUAGGUAGUUGGUGGGGUAAAGGCUCACCAAGCCAACGAUCUGUAGCUGGUCUGAGAGGACGACCAGCCACACUGGGACUGAGACACGGCCCAGACUCCUACGGGAGGCAGCAGUGGGGAAUUUUGGACAAUGGGGGCAACCCUGAUCCAGCAAUGCCGCGUGCAGGAAGAAGGCCUUCGGGUUGUAAACUGCUUUUGUACGGAACGAAACGGUCUGGGUUAAUACCCUGGGCUAAUGACGGUACCGUAAGAAUAAGCACCGGCUAACUACGUGCCAGCAGCCGCGGUAAU